AGUCGAACGAGAACGGGUCUUAGCUUGCUAAGAUUGUCAGCUAAGUGGCGCAGGGAGAAUAAUAUAUAGUUAACCUGCCCUAGAGAGAGGGAUAACGUUUGUGAAACGGACGCUAACACCUCAUAUGCCUUUAAGACAAAAGUCUGCAAGGGAAACAUUUAUGGCUCUAGGAUGGGACUGUACGGUAUCAGUUAGUUGGUGAGGUAAUGGCUCACCAAGACAAUGACACCUAACUGGUUUGAGAGGAUGAUCAGUCACACUGGAACUGAGACACGGUCCAGACUCCUACGGGAGGCAGCAGUGGGGAAUAUUGCACAAUGGACGAAAGUCUGAUGCAGCAACGCCGCGUGGAGGAUGACACAUUUCGGUGCGUAAACUCCUUUUAUAUAGGAAGAUAAUGACGGUACUAUAUGAAUAAGCACCGGCUAACUCCGUGCCAGCAGCCGCGGUAAUACGGAGGGUGCAAGCGUUACUCGGAAUCACUGGGCGUAAAGAGAAUGUAGGCGGGUAAUUAAGUCAGAAGUGAAAUCCAAUAGCCCAACUAUUGAACUGCUUUUGAAACUGAUAACCUAGAAUAUGGGAGAGGUAGAUGGAAUUUCUGGUGUAGGGGUAAAAUCCAUAGAGAUCAGAAGGAAUACCGAUUGCGAAGGCGAUCUACUGGAACAUUAUUGACGCUGAGAUUCGAAAGCGUG
Molecule: ribosomal RNA, 692 nt
Filed under: uncultured Arcobacter sp.
Lineage: Bacteria; Pseudomonadati; Campylobacterota; Epsilonproteobacteria; Campylobacterales; Arcobacteraceae
Description: bacterial SSU rRNA
Rfam family: Bacterial small subunit ribosomal RNA
Source: RNAcentral